GACGAACGCUGGCGGCGUGCUUAACACAUGCAAGUCGUACGGUAAGGCCCUUUCGGGGGUACACGAGUGGCGAACGGGUGAGUAACACGUGAGUAACCUGCCCACAACUUUGGGAUAACGCUAGGAAACUGGUGCUAAUACUGGAUAUGUGCUCCUGCUGCAUGGUGGGGGUUGGAAAGCUCCGGCGGUUGUGGAUGGACUCGCGGCCUAUCAGCUUGUUGGUGGGGUAGUGGCCUACCAAGGCGGCGACGGGUAGCCGGCCUGAGAGGGUGACCGGCGACACUGGGACUGAGAGACGGCCCAGACUGCUACGGGAGGCAGCAGUGGGGAAUAUUGCACAAGGGGCGCAGGCCUGAUGCAGCAGCGCCGCGGGCGGGAUGACGGCCUUCGGGUUGUAAACCGCUUUCAGCAGGGACGAAGCUUUUUGUGACGGUACCUGCAGAAGAAGCACCGGCUAACUACGUG
Molecule: ribosomal RNA, 465 nt
Filed under: uncultured bacterium
Lineage: Bacteria
Description: partial 16S ribosomal RNA
Rfam family: Bacterial small subunit ribosomal RNA
Source: RNAcentral